AAUUCGCAGAAGCUUUCAAUACUACAUAAGAGAAAACGAUGGCAGGGAGCUUUGCAUCCUUUCACACUCUGCAACUCCAAGAGAAUUGAGCAACAAAAAGGGAAAGCGAAGACAAGUGAGUGACUAGAAAAUGAAUUUAUAUAUACAAGAGAUGAUGAUCGUCAUAGAUACCAAGACACUGAUAUGGGGAUAGCAAAACCACCGCUCCCUCCAAUUCUCUCUCACUCCAAGAUUCACCAGUCGGUUGCUCCAUUAAUUCCACCCAAGUCUAAUACAGCAAAUUAUUCUAUGUCCCAAGACUACCAACAAGCAGGCG
This 316-nucleotide unclassified non-coding RNA is filed under the name Hevea brasiliensis (rubber tree). Lineage: Eukaryota; Viridiplantae; Streptophyta; Magnoliopsida; Malpighiales; Euphorbiaceae. The record is from RNAcentral.